Molecule: long non-coding RNA, 3576 nt
Organism: Callithrix jacchus (white-tufted-ear marmoset)
Lineage: Eukaryota; Metazoa; Chordata; Mammalia; Primates; Cebidae
Source: Ensembl
UCAACUAGAUCAACAGAUUGAAAGAUUUGGUUGCAAAGGUCAGACACGGAGCAGAAGAUGGAAAGUGAACAAAGAGAACACACCUUUGAACGGCAGUGCAGGAUCUUUGCUCUGUCACCCAGGCUGGAGUACAGUAGCUCACUAUAGCCUUGACCUCCUGGGCUGAAGUGAUACCCCCACCUCAGCCUCCUGAAUAGCUGGGACCACAACUGUAUACCACCAUGCCCUGAAAAUUUUAAAAACCUUUUUGUAGAGGUGGAAGUCUUACCAUGUUGCCCAGGCUGGUCUCAAAUUCAUAGGCUCAAGGGAUUCUCUCACCUAGUUUCCCAAAGUGCUGGAUUUACAGGAAUUCUCCUGGGACUUAUCAGAGUUGCUGGAAGAAAACAGCUGAGGAUUGAACACAGUGAACUAAUUUUCUCACAUCUUCCAAUAAGCAGAAGUUGGUGAAAAGGAAUGUAAACACUCUUGUGGUAAAAUGAGUUCAAAAAGAAACUCUAAAUCCUUAAAAUUAAUAAACCAAUAAACGAAAACAUAAAACUGCACAAUUAUUUGCAUGGCUGAUAAGAAGGAAAAGAGUUCCAGAUAUCUUUUUUGAAGAAAGAACAAUAAAAUAAGCAUAUUAAAAAUAAAACCACUAAAAACUAUUCAAUAGAAAAAAUAUAGAAGGCACCAAAUACAGGAAAGUAAACAUAAUCUUUUAUUGGCACAGAAUGCUUUUAAGAGUGAUGAUUUGAGGUGCUAACUUCCUUUACUUCCUGAUCUAUUGUACAGAACUUCUGAAGUUUGUCCUUUUUACAUUUUCUAACUUCUCGUGUACCUUUCACCUCCCCUGUUCAGCAGUGCUUGUGAGAAAACUUACUUUUUUUGUGGAGGAUGGGUCGGCGGGGAGUUGGAACAGGUUUUUUUUCUCUGUUGCCCAGGCUAGAGUGCAGUGGUGUGAUCACAGCUUGCUGCAGCCUUAAACUCCUGGGCUCAAUAGAUCCUCCCUCAACAGCCUCCUGAAUAGCUGGAAUUAUAGGUGUGAGCCCCUGUGCCAAGCUAGAAAGCUUCAUUUUCUGAGUUAUUUGUUAUAUUUUGCAGCUAUGAUUACAUAUUUUUCAGUUGUUAGGACUUGCACUGAACUUUCAGAACACUUUUUAAAAAUAAAGUUACCCUUCGUUUUACAAAGAUGUUAAUACUGGUUAGCUAUCAAUAUAAGUGCUUCAGGUUGUCUUGAAGUGAGGAUGGAUUGACUUUGCCUACUCACAUUUUCCAACAUGGUUCCCUGGCAACUGUGGUCAUUAAUUUAGGUGAGGGUUUUUCAGGACUGCAGAUGCAGAUUAGGGUCAUGGAAUAGAAUAAUGGGUCUUAAAUUUUGCUGCUGAUCAGAAUCAUCUAGGGAGUUCUUGAAAAAUCUUGAUAUCUAGGUCUUACCACUUACCAAUGAAGUCCAAAUUUCUGUAUAAGAGGUCCAGGCAUUAGAUUUAUUAUUGUUUUAAAAUCUAUAUUCAUGAUAUAUAUGGGUGUAUAGUUUUGACUUUUUGUAAUUUUUAAAAAUAGCUUUAUUGAGAUGUAAUUAACAUACAAUAAAUUUUGGCAUAUGUAUAUACUUAUGAAACCAUCACCACAAUCAAGAUAAUAAAUCUAUCUAUAUGUUUUUGGCAUGCUCCUUGGUAAUCUCUUCCUCCUGCCCCUCCUUGCCAUUUCCAGGCAACAACUCAUCUGCUUUCUGUCACUAUAGAUGCGCCUGCACUUUCUAGAAUUGUAUAUAAAUAGAAUCAUGUAGUAUAUAUCCUGCUUGCUCUGGCUUCUUUCAUCAGAAAGAAUUACCUGUACCAAAAGCUCAUUUAAAAAAAUAUUGCUGAGUAGUAUUCCAUUGUCUGGAAAAAACAUAAUUUGUUUAUCAGUUCACUUAUUGAUGGACAGUUGAAUUGUGACUAUUACAAAUAAAGCUGUUAUGAACAUUCAUGUGUAAUCUUUGUAUAGACAGACAAGCUUUUCUUAUGUUUUGCAUAAGAAUAGAACUAAGUAAGUGAAUGUUUAAGUUAUAAGAAUCUGACAAACAUUUUGUGAAAGUGACUAACCCUUUUAUAUUUUUAUCAGCAUUAAAUAGUGUUUCAGUUCCUCCAGAUCCUUGCCAACACUUGGUAUAGUUAAUCUUUUAAAUUUUAGCCAUUUCUAAUAGACACAUACUGGUGUCUCAUUAUAGUACUAAUUUGUAUUAGGUUAAUACAAAUGACGUUGAACGUAUUUUCAUGUGCUUCUUUGCUAAUUAUAUAUAUUCUUUGGUAAAGUAUCUGUUUAAUUUUUUAAAGAUUGGAUCAUUUGUCUUUUAUUUUUGAAUAGGAAGGAUUUUUCAGUAUAAUUCUAGAUAGAAGUUUAUUGUCAGCUGUAUGUCUUGAAAAUAGUUUCCCUGACUCUGUUAAAAGUUUUUAACUUUGUUAAAGUCCAGUUCAUUGAAUUUUUCUUUUAUGAUUUGUGCUUUUGCCAAACUCAAGGACACUAGGACUUUCUUGUACUUUUAAAAAAAAUACAAGAAGUUGAAUAAUUCUGCUCCUUUAUUUAGUUCUAUGAUCCAUUUGAAUUAAUUGUCAAGAAAGGGUCAAGGUAUGUUUAUUUUUUUCUGUAUUGAUAUCUAUUUUUUCCAGACUAUUUGUCAAAUAGAUUAUUAUUUCUUUUACUUAACUAUGUUGGUCACUUGGUUGAAUAUCUGUUGAUUAUAUACAUGUGGGUUAGUUUCUAAACUCUUUUCUGUUGCAUUGAUCUAUUGCCUAAUUUUAUACCAAUGCCACACCAUCUUGAUUGCCAUAGCUUUACAAUAAACCUUGAAAUCUGGUAGCAUAAGUCCUCCAUCUUUAUUUUUCUUAAAAAAAAAAUUUGGCCUUUCAGGGUUCUUUAAAUUUUCAUAUACAUUUUAGAGUCUGCUUGUCAAAUAAAAAGGCUUCUAGAAUUUUGAUUAACAUUGUGUUGAACAAAUUGAUCAAAUAUUAAUAAUAUUAAGUCUUUCAAUAUAUAAGUGUGGUAUGUGGUAUUUAGGAUUUCUUUAAUUUUUUUCAGCAAUGUUUUGUCAUUUUCAAUGUUCAAGUCUCACCUAUCUUUUUUUAUUCUGAAAUAUUUCAUAUUUGUGAUGUUAUUGUAAAUGCUGCUUUUCUGAAUUUCAAUUUCCGAUUAUUCAUUGUUAGUAUAUGCAAAUUAUAAUUUACUUUUGUAUUCUGAUCUUUUAGUCUGCACCUUGCUAAAAUAAUUUAUUAAUUCUACCAGUUUUUUGAUUGUUUUGUAAGAGUUUUCUACACAGAAAUUACUUUGUUUUCUAAUAAAGACAGCUUUAACUUCCUUCAUUUCACUAUUGAUGCCCAUUUGUCUUUUUCUUGCCUUAUUAUACUGGAAAGAACUUUAGUACAGUUUUGAAUAGAAAUAAUGACAGCUUUAUUCCUGAUCUUGGAGGGAAACCUUUUUUUUUUUUUAACCAUUUAAGUAUUGUCACCUUUUUUUCCCCUUCAAUGUCCCUUUUCAAUUAGGUUGAGAAAGUUCCCUUCUAGUCAUAGUUUUCUGAGGCUUUUUAUCAGAAAUAGCUGUUGAAUUUUGUCAAAUUCCUUC